RNAcentral lists this long non-coding RNA (2149 nucleotides) under Daphnia magna. RNAcentral describes it as "uncharacterized LOC116931003, transcript variant X12". The record is from RNAcentral. Lineage: Eukaryota; Metazoa; Arthropoda; Branchiopoda; Diplostraca; Daphniidae.
UGAAAUAUUCAGAACAGCAGACGAUCUAACUUCGUUGAAAUGUCAAGUCACUAUUGGUAGACAAAAAGUUUCUUUAGCUAUCUUUCAACAAUCUGUAAAAUAACUUAGAUAGUGUUCUAAAGCACUCUUCCCUUCUACGUUUCAAUUCACCGUGUCUGCGCAUUCUCUCUAAAUUCAGUUUGUCACCCUACUUGAUAGCUUGUGUUUAUUGACUAAGCUGGAAAAUUGUGCAUACGACGAUGACCAAGGGACUGAUAAUUCAUACUGGUAAUAUUAUACAGCUGCCAGAUUUGAAAAGAAAACCAGGCCACACACCUACUGAUGAGGUUCAAAAUGUAUUUUUGUUUUUGGGGUUCAUUUCUUAAUUUUAAAAAAUAGCUCUAUGAUGCCUUGAAAGUUCAGCUGUAUAAAACAUUGGCUAAUGGGGAUGCUGAGAUACUUUCUCCAUUGGAAUUGUCAUCUCUUCUAGUCCCAGAGGAAUGCAAAAAAAAAAAAAAAAUACUAUAAAUUAUCUCUUUCAUCUCCUCAAUCAGAAUUUAACAAAUUGUCCUUGACAGCAGGUAUAUGAAAUGCUAAUGCUUUUAAUAUUUUUAGGUUGAUUAUGAGAAGCCCUCUUCCGUCAUCCGAUCCAUUGACGACAUUUCGAUUCGUCAAUAUGGUUUACCAUGGAGAAGGCCGGAUUGUCUUUCACAACACUGUGUUCUACUGGUGCCACCAAGCGGAUUAGCUCCAGUCAGGCUUCAGCAAUCAGCAUACUCCCACAAAUUUAGCAUGUCGAUGUUUCUCCCAUCAUUCUCCUUCAUGAUAGAACUGAUACUUUGAAGAGUAUGGAUCUCUGCAAAAGAAGUUAAUUUAGUUAAAUAUGAUUUGAUACUGGAUAAUUGUAGAUAUGAACGAAUUUUUGUUGUUCAAACCAAAAACAUCAGUGGAAGCACAGGCCUGUGGUAGCAGCAAUGGCAAAAAAAAUGUUUUUUCGUAACUCAGUGUUGUGUGAAAAUUGGGAACAGUGGAUUUUCCAGGAGAACAUUUAUAAUUCAAACUAUUUUUGUUAGUGGCAAGCAUGUGAAAAUAUCUAUAUUUAAUAGUGAAAAGGAAGCAUUAAUAAAUGCUUGGACGAAUGAGAAUUUAUUUGUUAACCAACAUUGCUGCCAAAGGAAUUUUGUCACAUAAAGUAGGUCAGCACAAUCAGCAGAACUUUUUCCACUGCCUACUUUUUCACACUGUAGGGCUGAGAAUCCAAAUUGGACAUUGAUUUGAAUUAAGUACGACUUUUUGUACAAAAUUAAAACGAAAACAAAGUGUCGAUUUUUUGUACAAAAAAAGUCGGGCUUAAUAACUGAAAUAUAUUUCGAUAGAUGGCAGUGCACAUGUAGAUAGCAGUGCAUCUAAGAUUUUUUGGUCCCGAUCUAGUGGAAUUUACAUUCGUCUGAAGUGUGCCAUCGCCAUUGUGAACGAAGCAUGGGUCACUACAAAUCAUCUUCUGAUACGUUGUCCGGUUUUUAAAAAUCUUUUAUUACUUUAAUAUGUCUUUUUGUAAUUCCUUGGGCAUUAACACUCUCUAAUCAACAAAGAAACUGCUUUUCUCAUGUUACUUUUACCAAUUUUUUUAUACUCGUACAUUUAGUUGAUUAUAGAAAACAUCUUGACAUUCACACGAAUGCCUUUGUCUUAUCUGAUCGUGUUAACAUGCUGAUUCGUUCUUGCCACUGGCCGAAGCCAUUUUGUCAAAUUUUGCAUCUUUCCAAAAUUUAAUCACACACAAGCAUUCUGGCAUGUGUCAGGCAACGGGUUACAGGAAUGGCAUGGUCCCCUUUUGGUGUUGAGCCUGGCCUACACCCUCGGUUAUUGAAAAUGGUGUUGGAACAAGUAAUUACAUGGAGCUGGAGCGUCAAUUUGGGACUUGAUUUGUCAUCUGUUGGUUGACGUAGGAAAACACAGAUUGAACCCACCAUUUUAUUCCCACACUUAUCAUUGGAAUUCUGGGAUGGUAGCUGUUGUUGCAGGACACUCCUUGGUUCAUUAGUGAGGUUCCAGAAAGCAGCAUUCCAAGAGCAAGAAUACAAUUUGCCGGCUGUCAACACAAUAUAGAUUGUUUAACUUUGUUUUCUUGCCUUGGUGGUGAAAUUGAAUUAUAUUGAGAUUUAAAACA